Molecule: ribosomal RNA, 740 nt
Filed under: Acinetobacter johnsonii
Lineage: Bacteria; Pseudomonadati; Pseudomonadota; Gammaproteobacteria; Moraxellales; Moraxellaceae
Description: bacterial SSU rRNA
Rfam family: Bacterial small subunit ribosomal RNA
Source: RNAcentral
GAGAUGUAGCUUGCUACAUUUCCUAGCGGCGGACGGGUGAGUAAUGCUUAGGAAUCUGCCUAUUAGUGGGGGACAACAUUCCGAAAGGAAUGCUAAUACCGCAUACGCCCUACGGGGGAAAGCAGGGGAUCUUCGGACCUUGCGCUAAUAGAUGAGCCUAAGUCAGAUUAGCUAGUUGGUGGGGUAAAGGCCUACCAAGGCGACGAUCUGUAGCGGGUCUGAGAGGAUGAUCCGCCACACUGGGACUGAGACACGGCCCAGACUCCUACGGGAGGCAGCAGUGGGGAAUAUUGGACAAUGGGCGCAAGCCUGAUCCAGCCAUGCCGCGUGUGUGAAGAAGGCCUUUUGGUUGUAAAGCACUUUAAGCGAGGAGGAGGCUACUUGGAUUAAUACUCUAGGAUAGUGGACGUUACUCGCAGAAUAAGCACCGGCUAACUCUGUGCCAGCAGCCGCGGUAAUACAGAGGGUGCGAGCGUUAAUCGGAUUUACUGGGCGUAAAGCGUGCGUAGGCGGCUUUUUAAGUCGGAUGUGAAAUCCCUGAGCUUAACUUAGGAAUUGCAUUCGAUACUGGGAAGCUAGAGUAUGGGAGAGGAUGGUAGAAUUCCAGGUGUAGCGGUGAAAUGCGUAGAGAUCUGGAGGAAUACCGAUGGCGAAGGCAGCCAUCUGGCCUAAUACUGACGCUGAGGUACGAAAGCAUGGGGAGCAAACAGGAUUAGAUACCCUGGUAGUCCAUGCCGUAA